Ailuropoda melanoleuca (giant panda) is the source of this 6950-nucleotide long non-coding RNA. RefSeq lists it as uncharacterized. NCBI's taxonomy places the organism in Eukaryota, Metazoa, Chordata, Mammalia, Carnivora, Ursidae. The record is from RefSeq and is a predicted model, not a curated record. The transcript has 8 exons.
AAACAACCCUCGAGGGGAGGGAGGAGCCCAGAGGACUGAAAUCCUGUGUGGUUUUCCCAGCGUCUUUACUGAGAUGAUUGUCUUCCUUCCUUCUGAGUCUAGUCCAGGCACAGUUAGUGAAAUGAAGGAUCUGUGUGAGGAAAUUGGGAUUUACAGAGAUGGUGCACCUUGCCUGCGGGGAAGAAGCAGUAGAACUGGAAUUUGAAUCCAAGUCUCUCUGAGCCUGUUACUGAGCCUCUCUCUGCCAUGAGGCCAUUCACUCGAUCACUUGGAAGCAGAUUACACACAUGAUCGGCUCUUCGCAUUAACCAAAAGUAAGUGUGGAGGCUGUCUGGAGAAGGGGCCUCACCAAGAAGGGAGGAAGUGGAUCUCCCAUAAGUAAGUACUUUAAUUCUGGGGGCACAUGUGAAGGGCUUGGCUAAUGGGAGGGUGGAGCUGUCUAUGGCUCUUACUCUUCCAGUUGAUUUCUAGCCCCCGUGAAGGUGCACAUCUAAGAGGGAACUAUCUCAAGGCUGAAAGCAGGCACUACGAAAUGCCUUCUUUCCUUUAGGUAUAGCCUACCACUUUGAAAAUACAGAAGCUCCUGUGGUGAUAAAGGGGGUCAGUUUACUAAAUGGGCAUCUCUUUGUUGUGGCUUUGAGACCUAAGCCUGGUUUCUGGGAAACUCGGCAAUGUGGAACUGAAAGAGAUUUGGUGCCCCACACGCUCAGCCGCCACUGAGCUGUCAAACACAAGCAAAGCACAUUGCCUAUUUAAAGGGGAAGAGAGAAAUGUAAGAUUAAACUCAGGUUCGGCAGUUAUCUCUGGAUUCCUGGUGUCCGUUCUGCUCCUGAUCCACUCUUCAGUGGGUUUUUGAGAGCUGGUUUGCCGACCCAAACAGAUAGGCCAACACGUGAUUUAUGGAAAUCCACUGAGUCAUGCCGUGUCUCAUAGUGCCUUUGCUCUGCUCUGAGGAAGCUCAAAUUUAUCUUUUUGGCAGGAAGUACCCAAAGAGGUCUGUCUACACAGCAGAUUCCCGCAGGAAGAAAUGGCCAUGCUGUGGAAGUGAGUUAUUAUCAUUCCUGUGCUUCUCUGGUGAACCCAGAUGGACCUGUGGAUGCAUUGGGUAGCCAAGGUUCUCACGUACUUUCUUAAUUACUGUAAUCAGCUCCUUGAAGUCAGCUCAUGGAAGCGCCUCACAGGAAAGAAUGGGCAAUGUUGCUAUUGCCGACUUCUCGGGAUGGGCAGACACCCAGGGCGAGGAGUGGUCAGUGCCUGCGUUUCACUCCCCUUUCCUCCUGGAGCAGCCCCACCAUCGCCUCAGACAACUCACAUCACUGAAGCGGAAAAUGUUAUCUCUUCACUCCAUUGAUUGUUUUCUGUGUUGAGCAGGAACUGGUGAGAUUCAUGGUCAAGGAUAUGAACAGUUGGAGGACUUCGGAGACACAAAGUCCAGUUGUUGUGCAGUGACAUGGUCCUGGCAUACCCGGUGUGGGGAGCUUCCUUACAGCAUCAGGAACUCUAAUUCCUAAAACAUCACUCUUUCGAUGGAUGAAACGUGGUGUGGCCGGCUGAGGCGAGGGGCCUCGGUGGCAUCCGUUCUCCGAGACGACCUGAGAUGAAUGUCCUUCCUUCCACCCACUAGCGGCUGGAUUGUCAGAGGCCUGGCAGCUCCACUCUCCUGGCUCCCUCCACCGCCGGGAGGCCGGGGAUGCCGGCAGGCAGGUGAGUGGCUCUCAGGCUGUUCUUUGUCGUCUGCAGGUGAUGGAAGUGACGCCAGGCCUGGCCAGCGCCGUGAGGGCUGCUCUGGAGAGAGAGGCCAAGCACCCCGGAGCGCUGGGCUCCUGGUGGGUGGCAUGGUUCCUGCCAUGGCUCCCUGUCCUUCUCUCUGCUCAGCCUUUUUUCCAGAAAGUGGGGCCAUGGGGGGCUCUCUCUGUGAAUGCGAAUAGAGCAGACGCUCUGAACCAGCAGAGACGACUCAGCAUUUCUGAGGGUUUGUUUGUACGUUUAACUCUGAGUCAACAUUAUUCUAACACCGUUUAGUUCACUUAACAUUUACCGUGGAUAGUAGGUGGUACAGGGGCGUGGAGCCGGGAGGGGCCUUCGUGCCAGCAGGAUCCCCUCCUGCAGCUCUAGGAAAGCCACGAGGAGAUUUUUUUUUCCCCUCCUGGCAACUUUUUUUCUUUUUUUUACAGUUGAGAAAUUUAAGCAGAUUUAAAUGUUUUCUAUUAAAAAAAAAGGAAAGAAUAAGAAGGCCACAGUGGAAUCUCCAAAGGAGACACUGGUUGCAUUUCUCUAUAUGUGAAAGUCAGAACGAGGCUAAGAAAAGGAUGUCUUCCCCCACCCCCCCAUCCCCAGCCCCCCUUGCUAUAAGCCACCAAGGCUCGGGGCCCACAGAUGGGGAAAAAAACAGAUACAUUAGAGAAAAGUUCCUUAAAGUGACCUGUGACUAACACUGUUUCCUGCUGGUAAGCGUAAAGAGACAGAGCCCGCUUGAGCCAGCCUUGGUUCUUCCAGAAGAGUCAGAAGGUUUCACAUGCAUUUUUUAACAUUGGAAAAACCAGUCAGGAGAAAAAAAAACAUAAGUUCUCCCCCCUCUUCUUUUAAUAUCGUUUUCAGUAGCACAAUGCAUUUAAAGUAAGGCAUAGUUUCCUCAGAGUAAUAUGGCCUCAGGACAUGAUUUAGAUGGAAAAUUUAAGUAAGAUUAAUGCAAUUUAUUAUCCAACAGGAUAUCCCUACAAGCCACACUAUUUGGCUGAAUUUUAGAUUCCCAAUCUAAUAUUUCAGAUGAGAUUUCCAGAUGGGUGUCUUAUUCCUCUAUUAGUUUAGUCAGGGUGAUAUAGAGUUUGUAAAACAGGAGAGGUUAAACGAGUUUUAACACUUGAUUAAUCAUUGAAAUUACUUUGUUACUGUUUGAAUUCAUUGACUUUUGUUUAUUAAGUAACUCCCUAAAACCCAAAGCCAACACAAACGAGAGGCACAUUUCCAGCUUUGCUAAUUUAUUUGAUGACUUCUUCAAAGGAAAAAAAAAAAUUUAAAGUAGUAACUUGAUGGUUACGUUGAAGGGCUGCUCAAUGCUUGCUCCUUGCCUUGAGAGAAAGUGUGGGCUUGUAAGGCUGAGGGCAACACACACACACACACACACACCCUGAACCCAUACCCAUAUUCUAAUUUCCUGGAACAUUUCUGGACAGAUAAAUCUUUGAAAAGAAAUUAGAUGAAUAAUUAUCAGAGCUUUUGCUAUGUCCAUCAAGAAACAGAUGGAUAGCACAGCAACUGUCCAAGGUGACAAACCACAUAUAUAUUCUAGCAUUUUAUAAACCGCUGGCAAGUCUAUUAAGGGAGGUGAAUUCCAGCACCCAGUGAGGCUCCCUGAAUGGAGGGGUGCACUUUGGGGAAAGCACCAUCGACAACUAAGCAUGUUCGUGCUCCCGGCAGGACUCCGCUCUUAGCGGCGGAGUGAAGGGGAGGGGCUAAUUCAGAAAGUGGACAAAGCUCCAAACCAGAACUCCUUUUCGGGAUAUGAAAAUUUCCUGAAGUCUGCGUUUGGUAAAUUGAUUACAAUCUCUUUUCAGAGACCUAUCAGGAGCAAACUAGAGAGUUGCAGACAUAAAUUUGAAUUCCAGAGCCUCCGACUAACCCAACUCAUAAAUGAAUUCCUAAAUGCUGACUGAGCCAGAAGACCCAGCUUUGGAAAACCACUUGGCAGGAAUCAUUAGUUUCAAAAUGAGAUGAACUGCUCUAUUUAGCCCUCAUUCAAAACUUUACAGAAAUGCCAGAUUUCCAUAAACACAGGUUUCCUUGAAUUUCCAGGGCUUUGAUUAACUGGUAGAUGAGGGUGUCUCACAAAUACAGAUUUGUAUGUAAUAUUCAGCUUGGACGAGACUGGGACUUGGAAACCAACACAAAGUGUUCCCUCUCCUCCCUAAGAUGUUAACUCUUCCCUUGUUUUUCAGAAAGUGCUUUUUGUUACAUGAAGUUUGGAGAAUUAAAAAUUAGUCUAUGGUUUAAAAACAUGGCUAUAGAUCAUAUUCUUGUCAUUUAUGUCAUCGUUUCUUAAGCUUUUCAUGACUGAUUGACAGCCCACUGAUUUAUAGUGUGUCUUUAAUGCCCCAAAGGAAUGAGAGAAUUAAAAAAUACACUUCUGUCUCUGCUGAAAAAGUCAUAAAGUUGUGGCUUUCUACUAAGUAAAGAGAUCGCUUGCAAAGAGAUUUUUUUUUUGUUUUAAUAUGUUUUCAUUUUUCCUUUUAUGGCCGUUUUUCUGCAUUGAUACUGGCACAUUAGGCAAGGGACCCAAAUUGGUGCAACAUAGAUCCACAGAGUUAAACUUUUUGAUGGUGGCCUGCCGCCACCUCCGCCUUUUUUUUUUUUUUUUUUUUGGCUUCCAUAGUCAAGUCAAUAAAAACAAAAUAAAUUUGGAGGGUAAAUAGCCAAUUUUCUGUAUUCUGAAAAGCUGUUUCCUUCCAAGGGAGUGAGUUUGAAGCCCAGAAUGGAUUUGAGUUAAGACAUGGAUUCCAUUGCCUCUGUGGGCUUGUCCCAUAUUUCCUUCAAUGCCUGUGGAUUGUCCGUAGGAUUUUAGACAUCAGAGAUGAUGCAAAAAGAAGCACUAGUUAAGCUAGUUAGGCUACCACAACCAGGUAGGAUUUUUUGUCUCCAAAGAGCAGGGUUAUAAAGGCUAGAUUUAGGCUUACCGUAUAAUAGGGUAAAAACACCACAGUUGCCAACAGUGUUGGCUUCACUUUUAACCUAUUUCUGGGUAGUAGAAAUUCAGAUGCUUGUCCCAAUGGAUUGAUUCUUACCGGUGGUUCUCCAGAAGUUCAGCUGCUAGUUAUAAAGGAGGGAACUAGAAGUCAUCCUUCGGCAGGGUCUCCUCUCAGUGAGGUUGUGUUCUGGGCUGUAGGGGAGCACGAGCGUCCCCAAAGUCAGAAUGACAUGGAUCCAGCCUGGGAUUGACAGAACCGCAGUCUCUGUAGUGGUUUUUCCAAGCAGGACAGUUUCAAGACUUUCAUCAGAGAUUUGUCAUGAUAAUUCCACUCGCUCACGGUCUGACUGAGGCUUUGCCUGCAGUACCUGGUAAGCAGACAAGAUAUAGCACAUCCUAUAGAUGGAUACCUGUUAUCUUCCGAGUCCUGCCCCCAUCCUCCUCUUCCUCACCAUACCAUCAUCACCAACACCACGACCACCACCAUCAUUAUGACCAUGAUUUCCUGCCCUUAGGGACCCACUUAGGUUACUGAAGGCAAAACACAAUUUGGCUGAUUUCACUAGUUUCUUCUUCUUUUCCUUCUCCUUUUUUUUUCUUUCCCUUUUCCUUCUUUUUCAAGAACCCAAACCAAGAAUAUAAGAGUUCAAGAACAGUCCCUACUGAAGCCCACACAAACAUCUGCGUGCCGGGGUUCGGCCGUGGUGGGAGCCAAGCUAAUUGGCAAGUAGCCUGGAUCUGCUACCUCGGGGGACUUCCGGGCUUGGUCCUUGAGCCUCCUGCUCAGUAGUGCAUGGGUUCCGAGACAUUCCCUUCCUUCAUCUGACAGGAUGAGAUGCCUUAGAACUGAGGGUUUUGUGAAAGAACAGAAAAAGUACGAGGACACUGGGUGGAGAGGGGAAGAAGAUAGAGAAUGAUAAGAAGACAGUGGAAUUCAGUCAAUGGUAAGUCUGCAUUUCCAUCUCUCACUAGGGCAAGAUUCAUGUAAUCACAGGAACGAGAGGCUCUGCCGCAGAGAUCUUGGGUCCUGUGUAGCGUGCUCCUGCAAAGGGGUGAAUUGCUACAUGGACGCACUUUUUUUGUGACUUGAUUGUUUUUCUUUGUAGUCUAGGAUGCCUAUACCAUUCGACCCCUUCCUUUCUGUUAGAGUGCUUUGUCAGCUGCUGCCUUCCAGCUACUCAAGGAUGGCCAUCUGCCGCCAUCCCUGCUCUAGGGACUGGCUUACGAAGGUAUCACGUUCCUGCCCUGCAGGGAAUGCUUAGUGGUUCUCCUCUACCUUCAUUCAUUCAUUGAAAAUUCUUUUGUUGUUUCUGCUACAAGGUUUCUGUGUUCUAGGCACUGUACUAGGCACCAGGAAUCCAUGGAAUUUCAAUCUGCAGAGGAGACUGACAUUCAUCAAGUCAUCCUAAAGACAUAUAUAUUGCAAAUGAGGCAAAUUCUAUGAAGACAAGGAACGCGCACCAUCACCGCUGCUACCAGCCUUCCCGGCUAUCAUUUCCAACCUGAUCAAUGUGGAACAUUCAGUUGAGUUUGUUUUGGGGGCAUUUCCACUUUAAACGAGAACGGCCUCUUUAAGAAGUGACAACUUUCUCCACUACAGAGCCAACCAGGUUCCAUGUUCUUUGUUUCCAUUCUUGGACUUUCAGAUUUGACUUAUUUUAUCGUAUAUGUCACGACAGCUUCAGUUCUUCUCAAGUUUGGAUUCUCCAGCCCAGAGCACACCUCAUGCAGCCUUCAGGAACAUUUCUUCCACUUGAAUGCAUUGCCUUCAACCCCUUUGUCCCUGGAGGCAAUUCUGAAAAUAGCGCCCUACCUGGUCCAUCUCCAGUGACGUCUGGACACCCGUCUCUAGCUAUAAUGGCCCUCAAAUCACUAUGUUAUGAAAAGCAGCUGUUUUGUCAACUAUUCUUAAUGAGUUUAUUUGUUGUUGUUCUGGUUUUAAAAACAGCACAUGCAGGGUUUAGAAAAUUAAAAAUAUGGAGGUAAGAAACAUAAAUAUGAACGAAAUCCAUACAUGGAGAAAUGACCAGUAUAAAUAUUUUUGUGUGUUUUCCUCAAAUGUAUAGUUAUAUAUUAUAUAUUCAUAUACAUAGACAUAAUACCUAUUUUUAUCCUGUAUUUUUCCUUUAACAUGUGUCAUAAGCAUUUCCCAUGUUAGUAAAAUUGUUGGUAAAUAUUAUUUUUAAUGGUUACUAAUAUUAUUCCAGUUUACCUAAUAUGUCUGGUUUCAUUUGUCAUUUUGGGUACAAUAAAUGUUUUUGUGUUAAAA